Long non-coding RNA from Oncorhynchus masou masou (cherry salmon), 316 nucleotides. RefSeq lists it as uncharacterized. Lineage: Eukaryota; Metazoa; Chordata; Actinopteri; Salmoniformes; Salmonidae. The record is from RefSeq and is a predicted model, not a curated record. The transcript has 3 exons.
CUCCGGGACCUGCACACGCUGGACUCUCACGUCCGCGGCAUCAAGAAGCUCCUGGAAGAACAGGGCAUCUUCCUCCGCGCCGGCGUCGUCACGGCAACCUCCGGCUCCGCCCCCCUGCAGUACGACACGCUCAUUAGUCUGAUGGAGCACCUGAAGGCCUGUGCUGAGAUAGCCACCCAGAGGACCAUCAACUGGCAGAAGUUCUGUAUGAAGGAUGACUCCAUACUGUACUUCCUACUACAGGUCAGCUUCCUGGUAGAUGAGGGAGUGUCUCCAGUGCUCCUCCAGCUGCUAUCCUGUGCUCUGUGUGGCAGCA